RNAcentral lists this ribosomal RNA (253 nucleotides) under uncultured bacterium. RNAcentral's name for it is "partial 16S ribosomal RNA". It matches the Rfam family "Bacterial small subunit ribosomal RNA", at positions 524 to 776 of the family's 1533-position model. The record is from RNAcentral.
UACGUAGGGUGCAAGCGUUAUUCGGAUUUACUGGGCGUAAAGCGUGCGUAGACGGUUACAUAAGUCGGGUGUGAAAGCCCCGGGCUCAACCUGGGAAUUGCAUUCGAGACUGCGUAGCUAGGGUGCGGAAGAGGGAAGCGGAAUUUCCGGUGUAGCGGUGAAAUGCGUAGAUAUCGGAAGGAACACCAGUGGCGAAAGCGGCUUCCUGGUCCAGCACCGACGUUCAGGCACGAAAGCGUGGGGAGCAAACAGG